UACAUGCAAGUCGAACGAAGCUUUCUUUCAUCGAAUGCUUGCAUUCACCGAAAGAAGUUUAGUGGCGAACGGGUGAGUAACACGUAGGCAACCUGCCCAAAAGAGGGGGAUAACACUUGGAAACAGGUGCUAAUACCGCAUAACCAUGAACACCGCAUGAUGUUCAUGUGAAAGACGGCUUUUGCUGUCACUUUUGGAUGGGCCUGCGGCGUAUUUAACUUGUUGGUGGGGUAACGGCCUGCCCUACCAAGGGUGAUGAUACGUACCCAACUGAGGAGAGGUUGAUCGGCCACAUUGGGACUGAGACACGGCCCAAACUCCUACGGGAGGCAGCAGUAGGGAAUCUUCCACAAUGGACGAAAGUCUGAUGGAGCAACGCCGCGUGAAUGAAGAAGGCCUUCGGGUCGUAAAAUUCUGUUGUCAGAGAAGAACGUGCGUGAGAGUAACUGUUCACGUAUUGACGGUAUCUGACCAGAAAGCCACGGCUAACUACGUGCCAGCAGCCGCGGUAAUACGUAGGUGGCGAGCGUUGUCCGGAUUUAUUGGGCGUAAAGGGAACGCAGGCGGUCUUUUAAGUCUGAUGUGAAAGCCUUCGGCUUAACCGAAGUAGUGCAUUGGAAACUGGAAGACUUGAGUGCAGAAGAGGAGAGUGGAACUCCAUGUGUAGCGGUGAAAUGCGUAGAUAUAUGGAAGAACACCAGUGGCGAAAGCGGCUCUCUGGUCUGUAACUGACGCUGAGGUUCGAAAGCGUGGGUAGCAAACAGGAUUAGAUACCCUGGUAGUCCACGCCGUAAACGAUGAGUGCUAAGUGUUGGAGGGUUUCCGCCCUUCAGUGCUGCAGCUAACGCAUUAAGCACUCCGCCUGGGGAGUACGGUCGC
Molecule: ribosomal RNA, 879 nt
Filed under: uncultured bacterium
Lineage: Bacteria
Description: bacterial SSU rRNA
Rfam family: Bacterial small subunit ribosomal RNA
Source: RNAcentral